UGUGUACUCCCUCCGUUCCAAAAUACUUGACUUCCAUUUGUCCAAAAAUGGAUGUACCUAUAUACUAAAGCAUGUCUAGAUACAUAUAUAUUUUGACAAAUAGAAGGCAUGUAUUGUGCAACGGAGGGAGUAGAAU
Triticum aestivum (bread wheat) is the source of this 136-nucleotide non-coding RNA. The record is from Rfam. Lineage: Eukaryota; Viridiplantae; Streptophyta; Magnoliopsida; Poales; Poaceae.